AGUGAACGCUGGCGGCAGGCCUAACACAUGCAAGUCGAGCGGCAGCGCGGGGGCAACCCUGGCGGCGAGCGGCGGACGGGUGAGGAAUUCGUCGGAAUCUGCCUUUUUGUGGGGGAUAACGUAGGGAAACUUACGCUAAUACCGCAUACGCCCUACGGGAGAAAGUGGGGGACCGCAAGGCCUCACGCAGAAAGAUGAGCCGACGACCGAUUAGCUAGUUGGUGGGGUAAAGGCCCACCAAGGCGACGAUCGGUAGCUGGUCUGAGAGGAUGAUCAGCCACACUGGAACUGAGACACGGCCCAGACUCCUACGGGAGGCAGCAGUGGGGAAUAUUGGACAAUGGGCGCAAGCCUGAUCCAGCCAUGCCGCGUGUGUGAAGAAGGCCUUCGGGUUGUAAAGCACUUUUGUCCGGAAAGAAAUCCAUGGAGCUAAUACCUUCGGGGGAUGACGGUACCGGAAGAAUAAGCACCGGCUAACUUCGUG
This 484-nucleotide ribosomal RNA is filed under the name uncultured bacterium. RNAcentral's name for it is "partial 16S ribosomal RNA". It matches the Rfam family "Bacterial small subunit ribosomal RNA", at positions 29 to 507 of the family's 1533-position model. The record is from RNAcentral.